UACGUAGGGGGCAAGCGUUGUCCGGAAUCAUUGGGCGUAAAGAGCGUGUAGGCGGUCCGGUAAGUCGGCUGUGAAAGUCCAGGGCUCAACCCUGGGAUGCCGGUCGAAACUGCCGUGACUCGAGUCCGGUAGGGGAGUGCGGAAUUCCCGGUGUAGCGGUGAAAUGCGCAGAUAUCGGGAGGAACACCAGUGGCGAAGGCGGCACUCUGGGCCGGAACUGACGCUGAGGAGCGAAAGCGUGGGGAGCGAACAGG
RNAcentral lists this ribosomal RNA (254 nucleotides) under uncultured bacterium. RNAcentral describes it as "partial 16S ribosomal RNA". It matches the Rfam family "Bacterial small subunit ribosomal RNA", at positions 524 to 776 of the family's 1533-position model. The record is from RNAcentral.